This 450-nucleotide ribosomal RNA is filed under the name uncultured bacterium. RNAcentral's name for it is "partial 16S ribosomal RNA". It matches the Rfam family "Bacterial small subunit ribosomal RNA", at positions 354 to 796 of the family's 1533-position model. The record is from RNAcentral.
GUGGGGAAUCUUCCACAAUUGACGAAAGUCUGAUGGAGCAACGCCGCGUGAGUGAAGAAGGGUUUCGGCUCGUAAAGCUCUGUUGUCGGGGACGAAUGUGCAGUAUUUGAAUAAAGUACUGUAAUGACGGUACCUGACGAGGAAGCCACGGCUAACUACGUGCCAGCAGCCGCGGUAAUACGUAGGUGGCAAGCGUUGUCCGGAAUUAUUGGGCGUAAAGGGAGCGCAGGCGGGAAGGUAAGUCGGUCUUAAAAGUGCGGGGCUCAACCCCGUGAUGGGAUCGAAACUAUCUUUCUUGAGUGCAGGAGAGGAAAGUGGAAUUCCUAGUGUAGCGGUGAAAUGCGUAGAUAUUAGGAGGAACACCAGUGGCGAAGGCGACUUUCUGGACUGUAACUGACGCUGAGGCUCGAAAGCCAGGGGAGCGAACGGGAUUAGAAACCCUUGUAGUCC